UAUGGAGUAGUGACCAGCUGAAAGAUUGCUGUAAAAUAUAAUCCAGGAAUGAGAUUUUAUGACUUCUUCCAGAAAGAGGUUCUCCUGUGCUGAACUACCUCUGGCUGGGUGAAGAAACUGAGGCAAAAAGAGGUCAUGUGACUUUCCCAAUCUCACACAGGGUCAGAACCAGAGCUUGGACUGGAAACCAGACCCCCUCACGGACUGUUCAGAGUUCUUUCUAUGCACUGAGCUGCCGCCUUGCAAAGAAAUAUCCGCAGUGUCUUGUAUGUAUAAAGUAAAUAAUUCAUGAUUAUUAGAUUGGCUAAUAAUCCCUGAAAUAUGGGAAAAUGAAUGACCAUGAUCAUUAUUUUAUUGAACCAACAAGACUCUUGAUGGUC
RNAcentral lists this long non-coding RNA (380 nucleotides) under Monodelphis domestica (gray short-tailed opossum). RNAcentral's name for it is "lncRNA (ENSMODG00000030737.2)". Lineage: Eukaryota; Metazoa; Chordata; Mammalia; Didelphimorphia; Didelphidae. The record is from RNAcentral.